Potamilus streckersoni is the source of this 81-nucleotide non-coding RNA. NCBI's taxonomy places the organism in Eukaryota, Metazoa, Mollusca, Bivalvia, Unionida, Unionidae. The record is from the annotation of a GenBank genome assembly.
UGACCUGCUAUCAAUGGCCUAGUGGCUAGAGAUCCCGUCGCGGAUACGGGAGGUCGCGAGUUCAAACCCCGGCCAAGUCAA